CCUACGGGGGGCAGCAGUGAGGAAUAUUGGUCAAUGGACGAGAGUCUGAACCAGCCAAGUAGCGUGAAGGAUGACUGCCCUAUGGGUUGUAAACUUCUUUUAUAUGGGAAUAAAACGUUCCACGUGUGGGAUUUUGUAUGUACCAUAUGAAUAAGGAUCGGCUAACUCCGUGCCAGCAGCCGCGGUAAUACGGAGGAUCCGAGCGUUAUCCGGAUUUAUUGGGUUUAAAGGGAGCGUAGGUGGAUUGUUAAGUCAGUUGUGAAAGUUUGCGGCUUAACCGUAAAAUUGCAGUUGAAACUGGCAGUCUUGAGUACAGUAGAGGUGGGCGGAAUUCGUGGUGUAGCGGUGAAAUGCUUAGAUAUCACGAAGAACUCCGAUUGCGAAGGCAGUUCACUGGACUGCAACUGACACUGAGGCUCGAAAGUGUGGGUAUCAAACAGGAUUAGAUACCCCUGUAGUC
This 460-nucleotide ribosomal RNA is filed under the name uncultured bacterium. RNAcentral describes it as "partial 16S ribosomal RNA". It matches the Rfam family "Bacterial small subunit ribosomal RNA", at positions 338 to 795 of the family's 1533-position model. The record is from RNAcentral.